This 497-nucleotide ribosomal RNA is filed under the name uncultured bacterium. RNAcentral's name for it is "partial 16S ribosomal RNA". It matches the Rfam family "Bacterial small subunit ribosomal RNA", at positions 27 to 507 of the family's 1533-position model. The record is from RNAcentral.
GGGGGGGGGGGGGGGGGGGGCGGGGGGGGGCGGGGGGGGCGAACGGGGGAGAAGCUUGCUGCUCUGAUGUUAGCGGCGGACGGGGGAGUAACACGUGGAUAACCUACCUAUAAGACUGGGAUAACUUCGGGAAACCGGAACUAAUACCGGAUGAUAUUUUGAACCGCAUGGUUCAAAAGUGAAAGACGGGCUUGCUGUCACUUAUAGAUGGAUCCGCGCUGCAUUAGCUAGUUGGUAAGGUAACGGCUUACCAAGGCAACGAUGCAUAGCCGACCUGAGAGGGUGAUCGGCCACACUGGAACUGAGACACGGUCCAGACUCCUACGGGAGGCAGCAGUAGGGAAUCUUCCGCAAUGGGCGAAAGCCUGACGGAGCAACGCCGCGUGAGUGAUGAAGGUCUUCGGAUCGUAAAACUCUGUUAUUAGGGAAGAACAUAUGUGUAAGUAACUGUGCACAUCUUGACGGUACCUAAUCAGAAAGCCACGGCUAACUACGUG